RNAcentral lists this ribosomal RNA (388 nucleotides) under uncultured bacterium. RNAcentral describes it as "bacterial SSU rRNA". It matches the Rfam family "Bacterial small subunit ribosomal RNA", at positions 335 to 719 of the family's 1533-position model. The record is from RNAcentral.
ACUCCUACGGGAGGCAGCAGUGGGGAAUAUUGCACAAUGGGGAAACCCUGAUGCAGCCAUGCCGCGUGUGUGAAGAAGGCCUUCGGUUGUAAGCACUUCAGUAGGAGGAAGGUAGUGUAGUUAACACCUGCAUUAUUUGUACGUUACCUACAGAAGAAGCACCGGCUAACUCCGUGCCAGCAGCCGCGGUAAUACGGAGGGUGCGAGCGUUAAUCGGAAUUACUGGGCGUAAAGCGCAUGCAGGCGGCCUGUUAAGUCAGAUGUGAAAGCCCGGGGGCUUAACCUCGGAAUUGCAUUUGAAACUGGCAGGCUAGAGUCUUGUAGAGGGGGUAGAAUUUCAGGUGUAGCGGUGAAAUGCGUAGAGAUCUGAAGGAAUACCAGUGGCGAA